GACGUAGGGUGCGAGCGUUGUCCGGAUUUAUUGGGCGUAAAGAGCUCGUAGGCGGCUUGUCACGUCGGUUGUGAAAGCCCGGGGCUUAACCCCGGGUCUGCAGUCGAUACGGGCAGGCUAGAGUUCGGUAGGGGAGAUCGGAAUUCCUGGUGUAGCGGUGAAAUGCGCAGAUAUCAGGAGGAACACCGGUGGCGAAGGCGGAUCUCUGGGCCGAUACUGACGCUGAGGAGCGAAAGCGUGGGGAGCGAACAGG
RNAcentral lists this ribosomal RNA (253 nucleotides) under uncultured bacterium. Its description in RNAcentral is "partial 16S ribosomal RNA". It matches the Rfam family "Bacterial small subunit ribosomal RNA", at positions 524 to 776 of the family's 1533-position model. The record is from RNAcentral.